Molecule: ribosomal RNA, 254 nt
Filed under: uncultured bacterium
Lineage: Bacteria
Description: partial 16S ribosomal RNA
Rfam family: Bacterial small subunit ribosomal RNA
Source: RNAcentral
UACAGAGGGUGCAAGCGUUGUUCGGAAUUAUUGGGCGUAAAGCGCGUGUAGGCGGCUUUGCAAGUCGGGUGUGAAAGCCCUCGGCUCAACCGAGGAAGUGCGCCCGAAACUGCAGAGCUUGAGUACCGGAGAGGAUGGCGGAAUUCCCCAAGUAGAGGUGAAAUUCGUAGAUAUGGGGGAGAACACUCGUGGCGAAGGCGGCCAGCUAGACCAGUUCUGACACUGAGGCGCGACAGCGUGGGGGAGCAAACGGG